CCCAGUAACUCUUCCUUCCACAAAGACAUCACAGAAGUCAGAGUACAGUCAGUACAUACAGACCUGCUGCAGGGCAUUGGGAUGAACUUCCUUAUAGUGACCCGGACCCACAUUAGUGGAAUUUGUUUCUAAUCUGCUAUUACAAACAACGUGGCAGCGCCAGCCAGCUGUUUCCUAGGAUGCUCUCUCUUUGAUCACCCUGCACUAGGUCUGGGGCUUUCUGGAAUAUUCUGUGGCAGCCAAGUCCUCCCUUUUGGCAGGAUGGCAAAGUCCAGGAAGAAACCCCUGCUGAGCUCCUGGCUCUGGAGCCCACUUUUCUUGCUUAGCCAUAAACCAACAAAUCUGUGCAGGAACUGCUGAGGCUGCAGUUAGAAAAGCAGCCAAGCUCACUCUGGGAGAAGAUGGAGGAGCUCAUUCCAGGGAGAAAUGCUGCCAUACCGUCUUUGCAGCAGGUUGUUCCCAGUGCAGCAGAGCCAGAGGCUGAAAGGGCUUGAAUGUGACAAGGCCUCAGCAAUGACACAGCGCUCACAGAACAGAAGCCAGUCUUCCUUGGACAAGAACGUUCAGGUGACGUCUGUUCUGCUGUGGGUUGGGGAUCAGUGGACAAGAUCAACCCUUCUCCAGCAUCUACACAUUGGUCCCAAACAGCUCUAGGAGCAAAGACUGCAGGGAUGAGGGAAGAGAAGGAGAGGAUCCAGCUGGCCCUCCAUCAUGGGUGAGGAACUGAGUGGGUAUAGAAUAUGUGCCCUGAAGAUGCUAUUCCAUGCCAAGGAGGCAAGUCUUCUGUGUUCAGCAUUGAUCAGGGAGUUUGGGGCAGGAGGGAAGUGAUGCGAGAAAAGAGAGGCAAAUUCUUGGGCAAGUCAUUUCUCUCUCUGACCCUCCGUUUCCCUCUGUGUAAAU
Molecule: long non-coding RNA, 900 nt
Organism: Hyaena hyaena (striped hyena)
Lineage: Eukaryota; Metazoa; Chordata; Mammalia; Carnivora; Hyaenidae
Exons: 7
Source: RefSeq, a predicted model, not a curated record